This 1383-nucleotide small RNA is filed under the name Malus domestica (apple). Its description in RNAcentral is "sRNA MD14G0052500". The record is from RNAcentral. Lineage: Eukaryota; Viridiplantae; Streptophyta; Magnoliopsida; Rosales; Rosaceae.
CCAACCCCACCCACGAACCCAGGUACACCCAAAACAAUCACCAUUCUCAUCCUUUCGACCUCACGAACUCAAGUCUGAGCCCAUUCUUACUUUCUAGGUCAAGAUUUCAUGGCUUUCAUGUACGAUUUGGUGAAGGUUUGAAGAAGAUUGAAGCUAAAUCCGUAACCUAGAUUCUGGUGAGGUUUUCCGGCGAAUCCACUAGCUUCCCUGUAUUUUUGAGGCCCUCACAGUCACCCAAUCCCAAAAUCUUAGAUGUAUGUGGCGUUUAGGAAACCAGAGCUUUUGCCAACGCCAAGAGUUGUAGCUGGUUCAACCUGAAGAAAGGUUAAUUUUUUUUACAAAGUAAGUUCCAAUUCGUUAGUGGUUUGGCUUUACAGUAAAUACCAAGUGAAUUUUUCAUUUGGUAGAUUUUUUUGAUGGAAUUCACUAACUUGGUAGAUUUAUGUUGUUUAUAGAAUACAUAUGAGUUUUCAUGGUUAUCAAUCGUUCAAUACCUCUAUAUGGUUACAGAGGGUUGAAGGUGUAAUCUCUAUACAUUUUGUAAAUAGCACUUCCUAGCUAUGGCAUAUCAGCAUUCUCAAUUUUCUCAUGUAAUAUAUGUAUAUAAACACUAUUCUUUAGCACAUACUUUUUCAAAAUUUUCUACACGUUUAACAUAGUUUUGUAACCCACGGUAUAACGCUGGUUUAGCUGCUUGUAUAAACUAAAAUUCAGUAACAAAAUGGUAAGCCUUAGUGUUUGAGUGGUGUAUGUAAAAAGUGUCCCUAGCCAAGCUAGUAGAAUUUCAUGGGAAGAUACUUGGAAGUUGAAUAACAGUCGAGGCUUGAGAUACAACCCUGCCCUUCUGCCGUUUAGACAUUUUAUUUAGCUUAUGAGUCAGUGGUAGCUGUAGAUCAGGAGCUAGGUUAGAUGACUUUGUGUGAUCACAUCCCCGCUCAAUUUUUCUUGAUUUGAAAAGUUCAUAUAUUUAUUAAAAAGACAUCAAGCACACAGACUCACCUGCGUUAAUAUUUCUUUCCUUUACAUAACAGGUAAAUCAAAUGCAUCUAGAUAUAUAUAGUUUGGUGUGAGUUUGACAAAUUUUGUUUUGACAAACUUUAAUUUAGUGCUAUUUGUGGAGCCAAAAAUAAUCACAAAGCGACACGUGGAUUUUUGGGUGAAGAUGACAAAUUUACCCUCGAGGCAUACUGGGUCUCCUACACACGAGCAGUGGAGAAUCAUCCAACAAUCAAAUCAGGAGUACCCAAAAUGGGUGCAAUUUUGUCCAAGAAGAAGAAGGUGGAAAUUUGCAUCCACAAAUUGGUGCUUUCAUUGAGAGUUGAGAUUCACACUCAUAGAAGACUCUCGCACAAAAAAGUUUUUCUCUAUUUUCUCUAUUUACUA